RNAcentral lists this small RNA (30 nucleotides) under Bombyx mori (domestic silkworm). RNAcentral's name for it is "ovarian small RNA-34539". The record is from RNAcentral. Lineage: Eukaryota; Metazoa; Arthropoda; Insecta; Lepidoptera; Bombycidae.
UGGACCGAUCCGCCAAAUGAUGCAUAACGC